RNAcentral lists this ribosomal RNA (497 nucleotides) under uncultured bacterium. Its description in RNAcentral is "partial 16S ribosomal RNA". It matches the Rfam family "Bacterial small subunit ribosomal RNA", at positions 28 to 507 of the family's 1533-position model. The record is from RNAcentral.
GAUGAACGCUGGCGGCGUGCCUAAUACAUGCAAGUCGAGCGAACGGACGAGAAGAUUGCUUCUCUGAUGUUAGCGGCGGACGGGUGAGUAACAAGUGGAUAAACUACCUAUUAGACUGGGAUAAUUACGGGAAAACGGAGCUAAUACUGGAUCAUAUUUUGUACCGCAUGGUUCAAAAGUGAAAGACGGUCUUGCUGUCACUUAUAGAUGGAUUCGCGCUGGAUUAGCUAGUUGGUAAGGUAACGGCGUACCAAGGCAACGAUGCGUAGCCGACCUGAGAGGGUGAUCAGCCACACUGGAACUGAGACACGGUCCAGACUCCUACGGGAGGCAGCAGUAGGGAAUAUUGCGCAAUGGGCGAAAGCCUGACGGAGCAACACCGCGUGAGUGAUGAAGGUCUUCGGAUCGUAAAGCUCUUUUGUUGGGGAAGAACAUAUGUAGAAGUAACUGUGGAUAUCUUGACGGUACCUAAUCAGAAAGCCACGGCUAACUUCGUG